GACGGAGGAUGCAAGUGUUAUCCGGAAUCACUGGGCGUAAAGAGUCUGUAGGUGGUUUAAUAAGUCAACUGUUAAAUCUUGAAGCUCAACUUCAAAAUCGCAGUCGAAACUAUUAGACUAGAGUAUAGUAGGGGUAAAGGGAAUUUCCAGUGGAGCGGUGAAAUGCGUAGAGAUUGGAAAGAACACCGAUGGCGAAGGCACUUUACUGGGCUAUUACUGACACUCAGAGACGAAAGCUAGGGGAGCAAAUGGG
This 253-nucleotide ribosomal RNA is filed under the name uncultured bacterium. RNAcentral's name for it is "partial 16S ribosomal RNA". It matches the Rfam family "Bacterial small subunit ribosomal RNA", at positions 524 to 776 of the family's 1533-position model. The record is from RNAcentral.